UACCCGUGGUUUCUGCCAAGGAUUAGGGUU
Molecule: non-coding RNA, 30 nt
Filed under: Mus musculus (house mouse)
Lineage: Eukaryota; Metazoa; Chordata; Mammalia; Rodentia; Muridae
Source: RNAcentral